AAAAAUAUAAAAAAAAAAUCAUUAUUUAUUUUAUUUUCCUUCUAAUUUCACCUCUUCGACUGCAGAUAUUCUCUUCUCUCUUUGUCUCAAAAUCUCUUUUCCUCUUCAGAUCUCCUCUUCUCAUCGUAUUCAGAUCUCCUCUUCGUCUCUAGAUUUCUUCUCUCUUCUCUUAUUGUCGUCUUCCUCCGCCGCCGCGACACCAAACCCACCCGAUUCAACCAAAACUCAGUCCUCUUUUCUCAUCUUCCACCAUUUCUUGUCACCUUAACUCCAGAUCUGGCUACCUCCACUGCACAAAAAUCCGUUUCUAUAGAAACCCAGAAGCAGCCAUGCCUAGUGAUAAAACUUGUAGAGACGAUAUGAGGUUUUACAUUAGGGAUUCGUUGACAAGAAUGAAGAUUGGGGAUGAGUGGAUGAUGAAGCAAGCUUUGAUUAAGCUUAACGGAUGAAGUUUCUUAUAGCUUAAAUACGAGCAAUUUAGGUUUACUUUUUUUCUUGGUUUUUGAUUUCGUUUAAUUUGGUAUGAAGCAGGUAUACGGAGACAUCUUCAAUUGCUUUAACGAAAGAAGUGUCUAAGAAGGUGUCGUUUUGGUGUCUUUGCAGGUGAGGAUGUGAAGAGGACUUUGUUUAUUUCCAUGGUGUUUCUUCUACUCUCAUCUGAUUUGACGGCCAAGCUAAGUAAUAAAGGUAUAAAGUUCUUUGGGUUUAUUUAUGGUUUGCAGGUGAGGAUCUAAGAACUUGGUUUGUUUCCAUGGUGUUUCUUACAUGGGUUUAUUUAUGGUUCUUUGAAUUUGUCUGCUUCUUCAGUCCAAAAGUUUGUAGGAUUUUUUUACUCUUAGCUUUGUUGUUUUUCACCCAAAUUUAGGAGCUUUGGUGUGUACUAUCAUCUUUUAAUGGAGAUAGAGAAGCUUCUCUUUUCUAAAACUGAUGAACUUUGUUUUGUUUCUUCUUGUGUGCUCCAAGUUCUAGAGUUAGAGAAGCUUCUCUAUUAUUUUAAUCACAAGACAUGUUAGUAUUUUGAAUGGUUAGUUAGUACAUUAGUGUGAUUAUUAUUGUUUUGUCUAAACGUUUAACUAUG
Non-coding RNA from Camelina sativa (false flax), 1078 nucleotides. The record is from RefSeq and is a predicted model, not a curated record. NCBI's taxonomy places the organism in Eukaryota, Viridiplantae, Streptophyta, Magnoliopsida, Brassicales, Brassicaceae.